This 1123-nucleotide long non-coding RNA is filed under the name Equus asinus (donkey). RNAcentral describes it as "lncRNA (ENSEASG00005037431.1)". Lineage: Eukaryota; Metazoa; Chordata; Mammalia; Perissodactyla; Equidae. The record is from RNAcentral.
UGCUGUUUGAUGUGAAAGGGGAACUCACCCUUUUUCCUUUCACGACUAAUCUUCCUCCUCCGCUGCGAGCCCAGCAAACGCGCGCGAAGAGAGCUGCGUGGGCCGCCGGGUGCGGUUGGAACCUCUCGGCCCGGCCCAGCGAGUCUCUCUUCCCAUUGGCUGGCAGGGCAAGGGGCGCUGCUCCCACGCUGGCGCUCGGUGCCUGAGCCUCAGACCCGCUCUACCGCGCACUGCUCCUAGGAGAAGAUAACCUGGUGCAAUAUAAGAUCCUCUGCGUGCGGUGCACCUCGGGGACACAGCCUCCUUCCUUUCCUGAGAACUCAACCUGGGGGAAGCGGGGGUCUGGGAGUUGGAACCUGGCUCCAGAUGACCUUUCGCAUACUGGCUGACUCCCAAUUAGCAGCAGCCCUUUAUUCCUCCAUCCAAUAAUCCAUGUAAUUAUUGAGCACCUACUUCGUGCCUGCCAGUUUUCCGGGCCCUCUCCAGCCGCGAACAAAACAUCCGAAGUCUUGCUCCCGCCUCCCUCUCUGGCGCUUUCAUUGUAUUGAAGGGGCACAGACAUUGAACUGUAGUGUAUCAGAUGGUGAUCAUUGCCGUGGAGAAAAACAGAGUGGGGUAACAGACUUUGUGCUGGAGCUCUUCCACAGAAAGAAGUCCUUCUGAGGAAAGACAUUGCUUGUCCCUUACUGCGUUAUUAUUUUAAAAAUUCUGUUUUGUCUUUUUUCUAUUACUUUUGCUAAAAUUUAAUUUUUCAGGCCUCCUUUUUCUCAAAAUUCUAAACAAUAAAAUGGAAAAUGAAAGUCUUCUUAAUUAACAACUACUAACAAAAAGGCAUCUCAGAAAAGGUUUUGAGAUGUCUCCUCAUGCCCCUGCAGCUGGAAGGAGAGACACCAUUCUUCUUCAUGAAAUUAAUAAGGUGUGAAGUUAAUAAGGGCAAUUAAAAGCAUAUUCAUCAGCUGGGGAUAAGGAUGACAAAGCUCAUAAUUAGUUUUUGUUAAUUUUCUCUGGACAUUUUUUAUCAAUAUAUAAAGUCUCUCUCUUUAUUUGAUUCUUAACUUUCGGUUAGCUUUCUGCAGGAUUGAAAUUUCUGCUUUUUUGUUUGCCUGGUAGCUUUUUGACAAAG